This 557-nucleotide ribosomal RNA is filed under the name uncultured Pezizomycotina. Its description in RNAcentral is "SSU rRNA". It matches the Rfam family "Eukaryotic small subunit ribosomal RNA", at positions 196 to 766 of the family's 1831-position model. The record is from RNAcentral. Lineage: Eukaryota; Fungi; Ascomycota.
GGAAGGGRUGUAUUUAUUAGAUAAAAAACCAAUGCCCUUCGGGGCUCCUUGGUGAUUCAUGAUAACUUAACGAAUCGCAUGGCCUUGUGCCGGCGAUGGUUCAUUCAAAUUUCUGCCCUAUCAACUUUCGAUGGUAGGAUAGUGGCCUACCAUGGUUUCAACGGGUAACGGGGAAUUAGGGUUCUAUUCCGGAGAGGGAGCCUGAGAAACGGCUACCACAUCCAAGGAAGGCAGCAGGCGCGCAAAUUACCCAAUCCCGACACGGGGAGGUAGUGACAAUAAAUACUGAUGCAGAGCUCUUUUGGGUUUUGCAAUUGGAAUGAGUACAAUUUAAAUCCCUUAACGAGGARCAAUUGGAGGGCAAGUCUGGUGCCAGCAGCCGCGGUAAUUCCAGCUCCAAUAGCGUAUAUUAAAGUUGUUGCAGUUAAAAAGCUCGUAGUUGAACCUUGGGCCUGGCUGGCCGGUCCGCCUCACCGCGUGCACUGGUCCGGCCGGGCCUUUCCUUCUGGGGAGCCGCAUGCCCUUCACUGGGUGUGUCGGGGAACCAGGACUUUUAC